This 492-nucleotide ribosomal RNA is filed under the name uncultured bacterium. RNAcentral describes it as "partial 16S ribosomal RNA". It matches the Rfam family "Bacterial small subunit ribosomal RNA", at positions 29 to 507 of the family's 1533-position model. The record is from RNAcentral.
AGUGAACGCUGGCGGUAGGCCUAACACAUGCAAGUCGAACGGCAGCACAGUAAGAGCUUGCUCUUACGGGUGGCGAGUGGCGGACGGGUGAGGAAUACAUCGGAAUCUACUUUUUCGUGGGGGAUAACGUAGGGAAACUUACGCUAAUACCGCAUACGACCUACGGGUGAAAGCAGGGGAUCUUCGGACCUUGCGCGAUUGAAUAAGCCGAUGUCGGAUUAGCUAGUUGGCGGGGUAAAGGCCCACCAAGGCGACGAUCCGUAGCUGGUCUGAGAGGAUGAUCAGCCACACUGGAACUGAGACACGGUCCAGACUCCUACGGGAGGCAGCAGUGGGGAAUAUUGGGCAAUGGGCGCAAGCCUGAUCCAGCCAUACCGCGUGGGUGAAGAAGGCCUUCGGGUUGUAAAGCCCUUUUGUUGGGAAAGAAAAGCAGCAGGUUAAUACCCCGCUGUUCUGACGGUACCCAAAGAAUAAGCACCGGCUAACUUCGUG